This 327-nucleotide long non-coding RNA is filed under the name Brassica napus (rape). RNAcentral describes it as "long non-coding RNA (BNAP_LNC024001)". Lineage: Eukaryota; Viridiplantae; Streptophyta; Magnoliopsida; Brassicales; Brassicaceae. The record is from RNAcentral.
CUUCCCAUUGAAGUUCACCGUCAGGUUAUGCUGUCCUUCAAGAACUCUAUCAAGCAUUGAUUCAAUAUUGCUCUCCUGAGUGGGUGGUGGUGGUUCCUGGUAAGAUUAGUUUUCAUAACUCCUAUUGUUGUUGCUGCUGUAGUUCUGGCUGUAGGGUUUCUGGUACUGUGAACUCUAUUUGAAGUUACUCAUAUGUCCAUUGCCAUAGAAGUUUCUGUUUACACUCUUGUUUUCAGAACCCUGGAAUCCAGUUCCACUGAUGAAGUUCACAUCCUCCUUUACUUCUGCUCUACCCUCUGUAACUACAGCAUCUGCAUCCUCCAAUAA